Molecule: transfer-messenger RNA, 355 nt
Filed under: Candidatus Muproteobacteria bacterium RBG_16_64_10
Lineage: Bacteria; Pseudomonadati; Pseudomonadota; Candidatus Muproteobacteria
Also listed under: 1 other name
Rfam family: transfer-messenger RNA
About the family: Bacterial tmRNA, also known as 10Sa RNA or SsrA, is named for its dual tRNA and mRNA-like properties.
Source: RNAcentral
GGGGGUGACACGGCUUCGACGUGGGCUGCGAAAUCUCCGGGGCAUGCCGAGGUGCAGAGUUCCUCGUAAAUCCAGCUGCAAAACCAUAGUUGCCAACGACGACAACUACGCUCUAGCGGCUUAAUCCCCGCUAGCCUUCCGCCUACGCUUCGCCCGCGGGCCGGGAUCGGAAGGUCAUCCACACGGGAUCGCGCCGCAUCGUGCCUGUUGGUACGGCGCUAAACCAAUAGCAGGCUAAGCGCGCCGAUGACCCUGUCUGCCGGGGAGUGGCGCGUCAAAUAAAAGACAGACUACGCAUGUAGAACCGUAGACGUAGGGCUUGCGGACGCGGGUUCGACUCCCGCCACCUCCACCA